CUGGGGGGGGAGGAAGGAGGAAAUGCGAGAGGAGGAGGAGAGAGCAGAAGAAGCGAAGAGGAAGGAGAAGGGGAGGGGCGGUGUCCAGUUUCCUUUCUCAGGCUCAUUGAGAUGCGAAAUUGCCAAAAUUUUUUUUUUUUUCUUUUGAAACCCGGAUUGUAUAAAUUUACAGUUGCCUUUUCAGCUGAAGCAGACAACGUUAACACAUUGGAUUUUCUGUUUCAGAAUGCAGACUAAACCUAGGCCAACUCUUCGGAAGGCUUAAUUAGGGCUUUAAGAAAAUGGGAAAUCAGAAAAGGGCUAGAAGAAUGGCGAGUUCACCCUCGCCGCGAUGUGGGCUUUUUUUUUUUUUUUUGGUUCUUUACUUAAAAAGAGACAAUUGCUUAGUAAUAAAACGGCCCAAGUGUUCUUUGAACAUAACAGGAAGUACUGCUGAAAAAACCCCACGCUUUUUUUUCUUUUUUCUUUCUUUUUUUUUUUUUUUUUUAUCAUGGAGGCGGAAGGCAGGAGGCCAACGCAGGCUGGGGCACGCUGGGGCAGUCUCAGGCCACUUUGUCCGUCCUUUCAGCCCUCGAGGCCCUGCCAGGCCACGCUGUCCUGGCGAGGGCCCUCAGCAAGGCCGGUAGAGGAGUUGGUUCUCCGCUGACCCCCUCACCCCGGAAAGUGCCCCUGCACUCCUGAGGAGGCCUAACCUGGAACAUCGCAAGCUGCAGCGCGCGCGUGACUGCGCGCGUGACUGCGCAUGUGAGUGUGCGUGUGUGCGUGUGCGUGUGCGUGUGUGUGUGUGUGUGUGUGUGUGUGUGUGUGUGUGUGUGACUAGGUCUAGGGACUAAUGGAGUUUUGUUCAGCUUUGUUGUUUCACCAGGGUUGCUAAGACAGUGCAGGCAACUUGGUGAUGACAAAAUUGUGCCUUCAUGAUCGCUCCUUGAAAAUGAAGGUGACCGCAAGGUGAUGAGGAAUACUGAGGAUCCUCACCCAGUCCUGUUUGUUGCAUCUGGAUGUAGCGGAGCCUGAAGGUAACCUCUUUUAUAUGCAUCAAAUUUUUGUUUUCUUAGUCUCAUAUGAUUUGGAUUUCUAAUGCUUGUUGCUGAAAAAAUAAUCCAGGCUUACCGGGUUAUUGGCCUCUAUUGGCAGAAAUAAAAAUUAUAUUUUAAUGUUGGAGUAACAGCAUUUCUCUCUCCUUUCCCUCCUUCUCAUUUUCCCUCUCUUUCCUUGGUGGUACUGGGUGUGCUGACCUUUCUGUCUCAGGCUCCUGUAUGCUGGGAUUAAUGUGUGCAUCACCACACCAGAUUUUCUUUUGCUUUUUACUGGGACCUAUGGUCUGUGAAAGGGUUUUGGCUCAGACAGGACACUGUAGCUGGUGAAGCCUUAAAGGAGGAACCAAAGAGCUCCUGUCUCCUCCAUCCCUAGGAAUUUACUUGUGACGCCAUCUUCCCCACCCCUGGGAACUUAGCUAUGGCGCCAAACCUAGGACCAAUGGGCUACCCGUGCAUCCCUGAUGCCCCUUAGGUUCCACCCCAAACCGAGGCUACUUACUACCCCCGAUGCCAUAUGUCCGCCAGAGAGACAGCCAGACUCCAGCGGGCAGGGGGUGUGGUUCUCUCUCUCAGUGUUCUCAGAAUAAAGACCUCUUUUGUUUUAUACUUCUCAUCUUCUGGAUAUAAUCCUAUCAGUCUAUAGAUAUAGAAGUGCAGUCCAGAGAUGCGUACGAUUUUGCGAUUUAGUUAUUACCCAAGAAGCAGCUGCCUGGCAUCCUGUUCUAACUACCAGUGCUGCAAACCUACAAGAAAAUCACCUCCUUGGGUGGAGUGCUGGUGCAUGCCUGUAAUCCCAGCACUCGGGAGGCUGAGGAAGGAGGAUUGCUGCAAGUUUGCGACCAGCCUAGUCUACAAAGUGAGCCAAAGGCCAGCCUGAACUGCAUAGGGAGACCCUGUUUUAAAAAAAAAAAAAAAUUACCUCCUUGGUUUUUUCUUCACAGACCACCACACUUCCACCACACUUCUGACCUUCAGGAGGACAAACCUGAGUGAGUGCGGUCACUCAGUGACUGGAGCCACAUGGGAUCUCGCAUUUUGCAUGCAGCAUACCCCACCUUCAUAGCUACAGCUGGGUGUCUUCUAUUCCAGCACUGAGUCCACCCUGAUGCUCUUUGCACCAUGCCUUCACCCAUCAGAGGGUACAGGGUAUCUGACACUCUUAGUGCAGCAUCUGUGUGAGCUGCUGAUGCCAGAAGCACCCUGGGCGGCCGGCCUUUAUCUUCCUGAGGCUUUGACCCAGUCCUCCUUUCUCUGUCUGCUUCAGUUUUUGUCCCACAGCUUCCUGGUCCUAUUUCCUUGCCUCCAUCUGCCUCCUCCUUCAGUGCUAACCUUCCAAAUGCAGGGCUCCUGAGAAGUGGCUGAGUGCUCCCCGGACCCCGCACACUUUCCAAGGCUUCCAGAGCUCAUGGGUGCCCUGAUUCUGGGCUGAAAGGGGAAGUAAGAGAAAUCCUACCAAGAGAAAGAAUUUCGGCCACUCUGGAUGGGGUGGGUGCUUUCUCUUCUGGCUGGGUCGCAGGGUUCAUUUGACCUCAGUUAGUGCACAGCAGCUUUUCCCUUAAUUGCUGAAAAAGUGCGCCACCCAGGAGGUGCUCAUUCUGCACAGGCUGGUCAUUAACAACCAAACAUGGUGUUAUGCCUGGACACGGCAGAAAGGAGACCAAAAGGCCUGUGACUGAAACCUUCCUGUCCUUGCCAGGCGAAAGUUUCUCCCUACUGCGCUCUCAGGAUAAAGAGAAAUUUCUUGUUGCAGCUAUUGCUGUGUUGUUCUCUCCUUGGUGUCAGAGGUCUCUUCGCUUCUUCCAGUCAUGUGGGCAACCUUGACUAUGUGGCCUUUGCCAGGCAACUCACUGCUUGCCAAAGAAAGAGGCUUUGGAGCUGGGCCUGGUGCCCCACGCCUAUAGUUUCAGAAUUCCUGGAGGCUGAGGCAGGAGGAUUCAAGUGCCAGCCCAGCCUGAUCUGUUCAGCAAUUUAGUGAGACCCCAUUUUAAGGUAAAAAAUGUGCUGGGAAUGUAGUUCAGUGUGAAGACUGUGGGUUAAAUGCUCAAUACUGGAAAUGUUGGGGAAAAUAAAAAAUUUUUCCACUGCCUCAGCUGACUGGAGGCCCCUGGUUCCCAGCAUCCAAGUGCUCCCAAGGGCUGCCCUGUAUUUCCUGUAGCCAAAGAAGAGAUGAGUAGGGAAAAUUACUUGCAGUGAACUCAGAGACUUUUGGUGUCAAGCCUGUGUUUCUUGCUAGGGGUUCCUCGGGUCUCGGGGAGUCAAAACUUUCUCUUGUGUAUUUUUUCUUUUGCAUGCCGUUGGUACUCGAGGUUGAGCCCAUGAGUUUGCACUGCACACUCACCAUCCUGUCUUGCAUUUGCUGCCUCUGGCUUGGGUCUGGACUGAUGAGCUGGAAGACACAGGAGCCUGAGAUUUCGCAGACACAACACCUUUGAAUUUCAGAAACAUGAUGAAUGGGCAGAAGGCACCACAAUCGCAUCUCACUGUGGCCUCACUUUUUUUGAAGCUGGCGGCUGGCUGGGAACUGUCCACCCCUUUGUCUCCUGGCUCCUUGGGCCAGGACUGCCCAGGUACCCACCGCUUACCAGAUGCACAACCUUCGGAGCUGCUGACUGGUGGCUUGCUGAUUUUAUCCCUGAGACCCACCAGGCUUCCUGGACUUCAAAUGAAAAAGUUAGAAAUGUCUUUCACUAGUACUUUUUCAUGUUCUACCUUAUUUUGCAUAUGAUGUGGCCACCACCAUUGGCCCUGGUAUAAGGUGGCAGUCUCCUGUGAGCCCCAUCCCCUGUGACCAUGUGACACCCACAUUUUGUGUAAGUGAGCCCUGCUGUUCACACCACUGCAUGGUUGUCUACUGGAAUCCCUCUCAGGUCAUAACCUCCCCAUCGAGCCACCCAUCACUCUGUUGAGUCAAAAUGCAUCAUGGAAAGUAAUUUUCCCCACAUUGUCUUUUUAAAAGAUGGCUCCUAAAAGUUUUCGGAUGGCACAUGCCAUGUGUAUACUGCCUCUGUGAGAGGCUACCACUUCAAGCAGGGAGUGAACUUUGUCUGCAGUGGGUGCACUAGGCUGUCGUUAAUAGCUCUUCAACUAUUUGACUCGGUUGUAGCAGAAAAUAGCCAUGGACGAUAUAUGAAAGAUGCCCCUUACCAAGCACCAGUAAAGGUAUACUGAAUUUUAAAUGGUGCAGCUGUGUGUGACCUCACCUCAGUUUGAAGAGAGGAAGAGUAUACUUCUAAAUGGAAAAUUUGGCUUUGCAAGAUAGUUCAACUACCAUAUAGAAAAGUAUUGUUUGGAUUGGUUUUUUGGGGAGUCUUUUUGAGACAAGGUCUUGCUAUGCUAGUUAAGCUGGCUCUGAGCUUGCUUAGUAGCCCAGGCUUGUCUCGAACUUGUAGUGAUCCUCCUGUCUCAGCCUCCCAAGUCCUGGGAUUACAGGUGUGCAUCAGCAUGCCACUGGUUUAUGAUGCCUUUUAGUCUUUUUUUUUUUUUUUGUAUCGGGGAUUGAACUCAGGACCUUGCACUUGUCAGGCAAGCACUUAUGCUGCUGAACUGUAUCCCAGCCUUAGAUUGAUUUUUUUAUCCUAGCCUUUUCUUCCCCCCCCUCCCCCCUUUAAAGACAGGGCUGGACAUGUAGCUCUGGGGUAGAGUACUUGCCUAGCACGUGUGAGACCCUGAGUUCACCCCAGAACUAAAUGAAAUUUAAAAAUGAGAAGAAAUAGUAUGAGUAUGAGUGCUCUUGUGUGUCCAGGCUUGUGUCAGUGCCUCCUGGCUCAUACUACAGGGAAGGCAGGGAAGGUAGGUUGACCAUCGUUUAUCCUGCAGAGGCAAAGAAAACUGCAGAGAAUUUCUGUCUGGCUCUUGUAAACUUGGAGGGCACACUUCAGUGAGGUCAUUUGAAAACCAGCAUUGUCAUCUAACAGGCAAGAGAGAGAUGAAACUACCAUGGCUGGAGUUCUGAUAGCUGAUACCUGAAAGGGAUUUUCAUAAAGAACUGUUGAAGUGGUAACUCUGUCCUCACUCAGUGAGGCCUUUUUACUGCCGUGAGUGGCAUUGUGAACUGAUCUCCAUGCUGUCAGAAAAUAUCCUGAGUUGUAAUCACUUUUUGAUUCCAGUAACAAACAGCCAUGAUCUGGUGCUGUGUGCAGAAACAGAUUUGGGGCUGGGAAUUGAACCACAGCAGAGUGCUGGGGCACUUACAGGAGCAUACAUGCCACUGAAAUACCAGGAGGUUCCCAGUUAAAGGCUGUUAUAAGCGCUUCUCAGUAUUGAGGAAAAAUGGGAACAAUUUUGGUCCUAUCCACUUUGCAGCCAAUGAAUCAUGCCUGACUAUCCACCUUAGCUUUGCUUUUCACUAGAAAUUUUCCAUCAUCUGCCGGGCCAUGAUGAUGUUUGUUGUAAUCCCAGGGCCAUUGCUGUGAGUUUGAGGCCAGCCUGAGCUACAUAAGGGAAACCCUGUCUCACAACAAAAACCAAAACAAGGUGGGUGUGGUAUUGCAUGCCCAGCACUCAAAAGGCUGAGGCAGGAGGAUGGUUGCGAGUUUGAGAUCAGCCUGGGCUGCAAAGUGAGCUGAAGUCCAGCUUGAACUGCAUAGUGAGUAUCUCAAAAAAUUCAAAAAUAAAACAAAAUGUCCAAGUUUAAAGGAUGAUAAUCAAUAGCUUGCUCAUGCAGGUACUAAUUGUUAGAAGUCAAGAGAUUGCACUGGAAGAAAAUCAACCAAAACUGAAUGUGUAUGUACCAUGUAAUAGAUACUUGGCUCAGCAUUGUUAUCUUUGCACCUUCUAAAUUACCCAGCAUACUAAAUCUUUAGUAAAAUACAUAAACGUGGAUAAAAAGCUUAAGAAUGGAUUCCGUUUAAUCCUCUGCCAUCGAAAUAACUUUCCUUGUGAUAUAAACCAGUGCAGGCAUUAUCGGGGUGAUGGUUUCCAAAUGCGACUUCAAGGCUUUCUAAAUGACUUGCCACCUUUUAAAAGUUUUGCAUGGGACCUCUUGUUUUUUCCUUUGAAAUAGCUGCCACUAGUAGAUGACUCCUGAAGGUGAAAACUGCCCCAAAGCCCCCACUUUAUGUAGCAGCCUCUCAACUGCUCUUUGGGGAUCACAGCUCUUCCUACUGCCCUUACCCUGAGUCUCAACCUAGUGAUGUCAGCAGGCCAGCUCGUCCCAGGCCUGCCCCAGGCUACUACGCAGGGACUCUCCAUGUGGCUUUCACAUGCCUCAACACCUAUGUCCCUUGGGUGUUUCCUAGAACCUUUUUGCACUUGUCACUAUCUUUUAAAAAGCCUGAGACUAGAGUCUAAUUAAGAGCCAUGCAUGCAUUUGGCAGUGACCCAGUAAUUUCCUCCCACUGAAAUAGUCUGCUCCUAGCCCUUGGUGUUUCCUGCAAGGCACCAACUUCCUUGGAAAAACCUUGGCCAGCUGUCUUCUUAAGUGUCCUAGGAUCUGUGUUUGUCUGAUUGUUUUGUCAUGCUUCUGUUUUAGCUGGAGAUUUCUGGCAAGGAUCUUAAAAGGUAAUGCUACCAUCCAUGGCAGAGAGCAGUUGCUGUAUGUGUAUCUGUGCAUAUGCAUGGACUGCCUCAUUGUAGAUGGUGUGUAUGCCUCUGUGUGUAUGCGUGUGUGCGUGUGUAUGUGUGUGUGUGCACAUGUUAUUCCACUGUGAAAUACUUGAUUCCAGCAUAUGUCAUCUUAACCCAUGGAGGCUCAUAGAACAAAAGACCAUAGUCGAGGUGGCUUAUAAACAGAGAUAACUUGUGGUUCUGGAUACCAGCCGUUCAUGGUCAAGGCAUAGCAGAUUCCGUGUCUGGUGAAGGCUGCUUCCUGGCUCAUAGAUGGCACCUUCUUGCUGUUUCCCCAGGGUAGCAAGGGCAGGGAGUUGUCUGGCAUCUCUUUCAUAAAGACAUUGUUAUGGUUUAGAUAGAUAUCAGUUGCCUCCCAAAGUCUUAAGAGUUUGGAAGGUGACUGCAUUAUGUGGCGUCAUAUUCAUGAGUGGAUUUGUCCAUUGAUGAGUCCACAGCUGACCCUGCUGCUCUGAGGUAGAGGUGGUUGGAAGUGUUCGCUGAGGGUGUGGCCUUAAAUGCUGUGUUCUUGUCCCUGACUCCUCGUCUCCCUCUGUGUUUCCUGGCUUUCAGCUUUCUUCUGCCAUGCCCUUCCUUCAUGCCUUGAUGUUUCUGCCUUGGAACCAGUGUACCAUGGGCUGAACCCACCGAACCUGAAAUAAGCUUCUCCCUGCAGUGCAAUUGCGAGGUAUUUUGUUCCAGCUCCAGCAAAACUAACUAAUGCAGACCUUAAUUCCAUUCCUGAGAUUCCUCCCUCAUGACCUCAACAUUCCCAGAAACCCUUCCUCUGAGUGCCAUUAUUUUGGAGAUUAAAUUUCAACCUGGCAAUUAAUUGGGGGGGGGCACAUUGGGACCACAACACUAUUUGAUUUGUGUAUAACCAUAACUACCAUAACUAGAGAAAAUCAUUAUCAUCAAUCUCUAUUGCAAACAACUGUUACUUUAAGUACAGGUUCCGUGAAUGUGCAUGCACAUCAUCAUGGGACCGAAAGGCAUUCUGCUCCCUGGUUUGCACACGCUGCCCGCUCAGCCUGAAUUAAGUGGAAUUAUUUGUAUGAGUUUCCAUAAGGCACAAAUCUCAAAUCUAAACUCUUGCUGAGAAUGGGAAUAAAACAGCUAGGAGAAUUUACUCAGAGGGAUUCCCGGGCCAGUGCUUUCUGCUUCUGCACCUGGGAAGGGGUGCAGGGAGUCCCCAGAAGGAUAACAUAUCACAGAACUGCGACCUUGUCUGCAUUUCCUGCAGGUGAUAGAAGUGUGGUAAACAGUGCAGCCUGAGUUGUGCUGUGAAUACGAAACCUUGUCAUACAGCCUAGGUUUUUUAUGCUUGUUAAUCAGGCUCUAAAAGCACCAGAACCUUUUGCUGAGUUAGUAAGGUAUCAAGCGGAAGAGUUACAGAGCUAAAAACAGCAUGAGAACAGCAGAACAGAGGGUUAAGAUGGGUUUAAAAGCUGUUCAUGGUGAUACAUACCAAUAAUCCCAGCACUUGGGAGGCUGAAGCAGGAGGAUUGAAAGUUGGGGUCUUGCUCAGGCAAUCUGGAGUGGAAAAACUCUGAGUGUGACAAGCGCUGUUCAUUAUAGUCAUGUGGGGGCCAGAAACCCUAGAGAGGAGGAAGAAACAUCCAACAUGGUGCAGUUCGUAGGGCAUCACGCUAGCAUAUAAUGGUCACCAUUUUUCCUUGGGGAAGUGGGGACCACCUACCACCAUCAGUGGAUGUCUGAGCCUUGCUAUGGGGGGCCCCUUGGAGACUGAUGAGCACACUGUGACUCCUGCAUGGGAUGACCAGGAGCUCCACCAACCACUUAGGGACUUAUAGCUUUCACAGUCUAGGCCAUGGCACUCCUCUCACACCAAGAUCAGUGAUAAGGAGGACACUGUUAGGGAGUGAUAGAAAAGCUCCAGGCUACAAAGUCCCCUUGGGUGUGACCAAACAGACAGGCUGGGUUUGAACUUGGGAUCCUUCUGCCUCAUCCUCCCAACAUGAGCAUUUUAAGGAAACCCACAGGGGUUGUCUGUAUCUAGUUUCUGUAAAUUGGAGAUUAUUUUUCUUCUUCCCAUGCAGCUGCUGAAAUCAGGCAAAAUAUAAGACAGUUCUGAGAGAUGUAUGUUUGGCUGAAGAGAAAGGAAGUAAAAAACAUAAAGGGAAAAAAAAAAAAAAGUUCUCCGCCAGUUGAUGAGAACGGCCAGUGUUUCCCCAGGAAAAGCCCCUUCCUCUGACCUACACUGAUUUCCCCUGACCUCCAGAAGGUCUCGCCUGCAAGUGACCCCUUGAAUUUAGGGCUAUUUUAUGGAUUCUUGUUUUCUUGUUCUUUGUUCGUAUAAUUUCAGACCCAAUGUAGGAAACCAACCAUCACUUGGAAAGUCACGAAAACAGGACUUAAAAUGAAUUUCCAACUUCUCUGUCUUGAUUUCCAUCCCAUUGGUUGGCAGGUGGGCGGCAAGGGGGAAGGUCUUUCUCCUCUCCUCUUGACCAGGGACCAUAAUAGAAUGAGAAGAUUUCUUCUGUAUGCCACUGCAGGCAUGAAUUCCAAAAGUGAGGUUCACAGAUUAAACACUGGGCACCCACAGCUACAUGGAUGGAGGGUCCUGUGGAGAGAAGGUGGCACUGUGGACGGAGAUACAGGUGGCUGAGGGCACUGUGAGGGGAACAUUACAAUUGGCUGAUUCCCAGGAUGGCAAGAGGCAGAUCUGCAUGCUUGGGAAUUUGCAGGAGGGAAGCAUUUUCAUUUUUAUUUUAAAGGUUAUGCCUCAUGAUAACUGCAUUCUCUUUGGGAGCCUGAACUCUGGCCUCCCUCAAACACUUUUGUGAAUUUUGCUGUAAGCACUCCUGAGUUUCAUUCUGUGACUGGCUUCAUCCAUUUGACUAAAAGAAUUGAUAAGAAGUUCCUCUUGGUACAAUAAUCAUAAGAAACAACAAAUGCAGAAUGUCUGGCUUGCAGAACGUCUCUGCGUAGCCAGAGAAACAAUUUAUUUCUUAAAAAUAAAGGAUUUGGUCUACCCAGUAGAGUUAUAUUCAUGAUAUAGCUUUUAGUGUGCAACCCCUCUCACACAUAGAGCCAAGAAACACAACCUUGAGUUUAAUCUUUCACCGAUGCAAAUAUUUUAUGGAAUACUUUAAAUUUUUAUCUCAAGGCUGGACCUUAAUAAUUUACCUCAAAAAAGCCUCUAAACCAGGAGAGGUGGUCCAUACUUGUAAUCCUAGCACUCUGAUGUCUGAGGCAGGAGGUUCAGAAGUUUAAGAAUGGACAGUUUAGAGGCUUAUUGUGAUCCCGUCUGAAAAUGAAGAUAAAGAGGGGGUAUGUAUGGCUCUGCAUUCAAUCUCCAGUGUAGAAAAACUGCUUAAUAUCUUGUUCCACAUGUUCUAGGAAAAAAUUAACUUGUGGCCUACGCUGUCUCCACCUAGUUCCUAUUUUUUGUCCAUUAAACAGUACAUAACAAUUGCAUAAUUCACACAGGUUUCUGGCAUCCCUCUCUAGAAAGUUAUAGGAAAAUUUGGGGGAAGCAUAUGGCAUUUCUCUACUUUCUUUAUCAGAAUUAUAGUUUUCAAAUGCAAUAAACGAGCAGGAUAUAAGAAAAAGUAAAAGUGGCCUUUUUAUUUAAAGGACGUGGAGAGGACCCUACAGCCAGCAAUGGUUAGGCUUUCUCUUCUGACUGGAUAUGAGGGUGUGGGGUAUAAGUGACCUCUGAGCAGAUGUGGGGCUUCGGGUGGGCAUUGAUAACAUGAGAGGAGCUGAUUGGAAUUUUCUUUGUGUGCAUGGGGGAAAGGAAGAAAAGUUAUAAUCCGAGAAGAAGAAGGAAGUGGCCAUUAGGAUAAGCAUCUCCGAUUUGGCCUUCCACCAUGUUGAACUACAGCGAUAAUGUCCUGUAAUUUAUUAUAGGGCAAAACUCUUCCAAGAAUAUAACCAGAAAAAGCAACUUGACAGGGCGAGAUAUAUUGGCUCUGAGAACAACACUUAACCUGAUGUAUGGAAAUAUCCACAUUCAAUGUUUGGAAACUUUAAAAACUAUGAAUAAGGAAAAGAAGUCAUAGUAUCUAAUUUACUAAGUAAUGCUCUACCAGGUCUGAGAUUUGGCAAAACAUCUUUUUCUAGUAGAGCUGAGUCCUUUGUUUUAUGAGUCAUGUUUGGUAUAUGUAUGUGUGUGUCUCAGUUUGUAUGACUGUAUAAUAAAUCACCCCUCAAAUCUUGUGGCCUAAAACAGAGGCCAUGGUUUCUCUUCCCUCUGUGUCUAUAUGGGCCAGGAAUAACUUUUACUUUGGGGGUCUCAGGCAUCACUCAGGGCUGUGAGCACAGGGAGACACAGCUGAGGAAAGAGGGUCUCAUUUGUGUCUCUCUAGCUGGAUCUCUCCUCACAGCAUGGCGGCCAAUAUCUUCUAAGAUGGGUGGCCCAAAAGCCAAGGUAAAAGUGUGUCAGGUGUUGGCGGCUUUUUUCAGAAGUCACACAUGGUUGUUUCUGCUGUUUUCCAUUGGGUGUGCAGGGCCAUUUGAGCCUCAGGGUGUGGUGGACCCCAGAGGUGAAUCCCAGCCAGUGAAGGUCAUUGCACCACCAUGGCAAAUGACAUGUGUGCUCUUGCUGAUGUGGGAAGGUGCUUGGCAAACCCAGACCCAUUUCCCCUCAAGCUGGUCAGUGGGCCAGAACAAGGAAUCGGGUUUUAAAAGCAUGAGUUCCAAAACAGCAACUUCAAGGAUGUUAAAUAGGAUCUGCUUCUGGUCACAUUGUUCUGGGAGUGAUGGUACAUAGCUGUAAUUCCGGCUGCCCUGGAGGCUGAGGCAGGAGGAUGGCAAGGUUCCAGGCAAGCUGGGGAAACUUAGUGACACCCUGUCUCCAAAUAAAAUUUAGAAAGGUCCAAGGAUGGAGCUCAGUGUUAGAAUGCCCCUGGGUUCAAAGAAAAAGGAAAAAGAAUGAAAGUGAUUUUAAAAUUAUGUUCUUGUUUAAUAGGUGAAAGAUUUAAAAACCUUUAUAUACACAACCAUUUUUAAGCUUUAUUUUAUUUUUACUGUUUUGAAAUGGGGUCUCAUGAUGCUGCCCAGGCUGGACUUAGGUUUCUGGGCUCAACAGAUUCUCCAGCCUCAGCAUCCCAGAUAGGUGGAUACCACUGUGGUAGGCUCAGUUUUAGUCUUUGAAUUAUAGCUUCCCUGCUUUCCUUGACUGGAAGUUCCUCACUUCCCAGCAUGGCAGUAGAAGCAAACAGAUCAUUCAUCCCUGACAGUGUUUGUCUGGUGGUUCAGUAAUGAGUAUAGUCACAGAGCAGAAGAUCUUGAAUAAUUCAGAAUUUGCAAACUCUGUAUCAAGGACUCUGACUGAGUUCAGUGGUACACAUCUGUCAUUCCAGGAUUUUGGGAGGCUGAGACAAGACAGUUACAAAUUUGAGCCCAACCCAGGAAAUUUAGUGACUUCGUAAGUACCUGUAUCAAACUAAAACACAAAUACAAAUAAGCAGGAUGUAGAUAGUGUGAAGGCCCUGGGUCCCAUCCCUGGUGCUGCAAAAAGUGAACACUGACAAGAAAAACACAGCUGGCUUGGGUCCCAACUCUUCCUAGCCUUGGCUGCCUAGGAAAAGAGGCAGAUUGUUUGUUGGUGUCAAAAGAAAGCCAGAGCUCCCAGGUGCUCUGAGAUGCAUAAAACUUAUCCUGGUGGGAAGUGGCUUGGAGUUUUGAAAGGCUCUGUGACAAUGGGCGUGACCCAGUGUCCCCUUGUGGGAUGAGAACAGUGUGUCCCUUGUAGGGGAAGCAGAGGCCAAGAGUGUGCAAAGCAAAAGCCUCGGAGAGAAGCAUCCAUGAGAGUCAGGGAUCCAUGGUUUGAGGCUGGGGUCACCCUUUGUUUUAUGUGACUGCAUCUCAACCAAGAGCUGGCCCUGGCUCACACACCAAGCACGGAAGUUCUGCAGCUGUCCUCUCCUCCUUGCUUAUUUUUCUUGCUUUUGUGUUUUCUCUGACACUGGCUUUCCAGAGCAGUAAAAAUGGAAACAAAUCACAUGGGGGUGGGGGUGUCGCUCUCUACCCCUAAGGUUUUGUUAGAAAAACAGCCCUUAAAAAUAAAAGCCACAGGAAAACAAGAACCUAGACAAAACAGAUACCCAAAUAGAUACGCUAUGGCCCUAUGAUGAAAACCUACAGAGAGAUAAUGCUGGACUGGCUCUUUACAAAGAUUUAAUAGUAAUUUUCCUUUAAAGAACCCCAAAUAAGAUGUACAGGUGCGAUGAUAUAUUUUUCAAAUUAGAUUUUUCUGAUGGAUUCUUGUUCAGACUCCAUUUGCCAGAGGUUUAUUUUUGUCUGGGUUCUGCUCUUUCUAAAGCUCCUGUGAAUUAUUUUCUCAGGACAUUAGAUUCUUGGCUUGAGUUGCAACCAGACAGACUGGAAUUUUUUUUUUUUUGAACUAUCUUUUCCCUCUUGUUUCUCAUCUUUUAAUUCUCAAAAUACAUGGGCUUUUUAUAGCGAUGGGAGCAAUUUUCAAAUCAGGCUUUCUGAAAAUAGUUUGAAUUAGAAUAUAUUAGGGGGAAAUCACCAUUUAUCCACAGAAAAACAUCAUGUUUUAUUUUAUUAAAAGCAGUACAUGAGGGUUGCAGACAGGAAAAAAUUAGGUGGACAAUGUCUGUCUGCUCUUACCUGUGCUGUGAAUGUUCUUCGUCAGAGACAUUUUUAACAUUACCUGCACAUGCUGGUAAAAGUACAUUGAAACACAACUAGUUUCUGGGGUAGUUUGCUUUUCUGGGGGCUGAUGAGAUCCAGAGGUUUUUCUUUUUUUUUUUUUUUCCGCUAGUGGUGGCAUUAAGGGUGUAUUAUGUUUAAAUCUAAAAUGCUUCCCAGUUACAUGUGUUUGCACGGAGGCUUUUGGCAGGGCCCGGAUCACAGCACUGCUCAAUUCAUGGUGGUGCGUGGCCAACUGUGCUAUUGGGAGAUGGGAUCUGGUCAGAAGAAUGCACUGUGGGAAGGGUGUUUUUCUUGUGUUCAGCUCCCUUCUUUUCUGUCUGCUUCCUGUCCACCAUGAGGGGAGCAGCUGUCUUCCACCAGGCCCUUCUGCUACACCCUUUCUGCCUCAGAACUGGCUGACCGUGGACUGAAGCCCCUGAACUGUGAGCCAAAUGAAACACCUCCUUAUUUAAGAAUUGCAGGGGUUAGGUAUUCCUCUCCAAGUCAUAGGAAAUACUCUGUAAGUCACAUAAUAUACUCUGUAAGACCCUUGAGAUCCUUGCUCCCUAGAUCUAUUUAAAUCUGCAUUCCUCUCCCAUUUGUUUUUUCCUGCUUCCCACUCUUUGAUGACAGGGACAGGUCACACUCCUCACAUGCAGUUGAGUCCCCAUACCUCACGACACUACUAUUUUUUCACACUAUAAUACUUUUAUUGUAUCCAGAUACCAAACAUUUUCCAUUGUAAUUAAGUAAAAUCCAAACCCUCUUCAGUUUAGCAUUUAAAAGUCUUCUAAAAUCCAACCCCAUAAACAAGCAUGUACCCAGCAAUGGUGCUUGUGAGCAUCUGCUUCAUGUCCACACAAAUGAAUGACCACAGCAUCACAGCUCCAAAGAACAUCUAGGAUCCUUCAACAGGGAAACCACGAAACAAACUCAGCGCAGGCUGUUCCCGCUGCAUGGACAGCUGGACACCCACAUUAGCAGAGGCCAGUGUGAUCACUCUAGCAAGUCUCCCAUCCAAGGCAAGGUCUGCUGUAGACCUUUACAUGCCAAGGGAUAUGGACAUCACAGAGGGGCUCACUUCCUCAGGAGUUUCCCAGAGAGAAGAACAAAAGGAUGAAGACAGCAGGGUGUGGGGAAGAAGAUGGGGUCCAUGCUGUAAUCCCAGCUCCUCAGGAGGCUGAGUCAGGAGGAUCUUGCAUUGGAACCCAGGCUGGGCAACUUAGUGAUGCCCUAUCUAAAAUAAAAUUUUAAAGAGGAUGGGAAUGUUGAUUAGUUCGAGACCCCAUGUUUAAACCCUAGUACAAUAGUACUAGGCACGGACCCAAAAAUGGUGCUUGUGAGCAUCAACAGCAAAGAGAUAUAGGGUAAAGGAGAAAAAAAGAUAACAUAGGCAUACUCAGUGUCAGAACCAUGCUGCAAACCCACCAGCUGAAUAAUAGCAGAAAGGGAAAAGGGAAGGAAAAAUAAAAAUGAAAACGGAAAAGAGAAGGUAUGAAAUAUUUUUGUAAAAAUGUUCAAGGAUGUAAUUUCUGGUUUUCUAGGAGCAUGGUGGCAGCUUGUUUCUGAAAUGUCCCCUCCUCAGAAAUUCAGAAACUCAGAGGACAAGGAGGAAAUGGAGACUUCCAAGCCACACAGUCAGGGAUGCUGGGGACAUGAAAGGAAGGCAACACCCAAAGUCAAAGCACAGCAGCCUCAGACCUGAGUCUACAAGGUCAGCGUGUGCAGAAGCUGCUGCUGUGUUGUAUGAUUGAGACAUCUUGGACUUAAGUUAAAGAAUUUAUAAGUGCACCAGAUGCACUGCCACGAAUCCUCUUCAGAACCCUCCCGUUCGCUUCCAACACACUCAUCCUAUCACCUUUGCCACUAUCUGCAGCAGCUCUGGGGUUCUCUUCCUCCCCACACCCAGUGUCUGUGGUGGCUACCUCCAUGUCCUGAAUGGAUUUGAAAUGCUAACCUUUCUUGGUCAUUUUGACCUUGGGGAUGAGCUGGAAGUAACAUGGUGCCAGAUCCAGUGUAUGAGGCAGAUGUGGACUUGGUGUCAUGUUUGUGGCAAGCCUGCCCUUCCCUGGCUGGUGCUUGGCAUCAGCCUUACUGUAUUUUGAUCACACCUCAGAAGGAUGCUCAGGAAAAUAGAAUUCCAGAACUGCUGCAGAAAAUGUUCAGAAGAAUACAGUGUGUUCAAAUCCCAGGGUGGUUGUGGGACUUUUGAAGGGGUUCAUCCAAUGUGUCUUUUACUGUAAUUUUCUUUUCCUGACACAGGGUCUCACUAUGCAGUGAAGGCUGACCUCAAAUUCAUGAUGUAGCCCAGACUAGCCUUGAUUUCACGGCAAUCCUGCCUCCUGAGUGCUGGACACUCAGGCAUAUGCCACGACGCCUGACCUUAAAUACUUGUUAAAUUUAAACAUUCACCAUCUAUUUGAUCAUCCCUAGUAGAAAAUGUCUCAGGAAGAGUCAGGGGGCAUUUGUCUGGGACACAUCACUCAAAGGUCACAUUUGACAUCCCUGGGUUAAGGAUGUGACCAAGAAGAAGCAAAGGAACCUCUCCUGGUUUCACCUCAGUGCAUUCAAGUGGUCACUUUGGAAGCUUGUGGAGGAUCCAUUCUGACACUCACAGGAGCCACCCUAAGAGCUGGAAUUUUGUGAAACACCUGAGUAAAUCAUUCCUAUGAUUGUUUUAACUCGAGUCUGUGGGUUCAGGAACUGAUGCGCUGCAUGAGGUUUAAUGCCCAGAACUCCAUAAUGAAUGAAGACUUUCAGGAAGAGGAGGAAACUGUAGUGACUCUUGGGUGACCUGAAACCCGCCCGCAUCCAUUUGUCUCUGAAUUGCAGCCUUCCCACGGGUGUCUGCCGUCUCCUUGGUUGCCUGUUGUCCUCUGAUCUUGGUUGUAUUUUUGAUCACCUGUCCUUCGCCAUCCCUGACUGCUCUCCUGCUUCUUGACUCAGUGGAGAAUUCCUGGGCAAUUUGCAGUUGUUCAAAAUGUCACUUUUGUAGGUUUGGGGCUUUUGGUGAAGGGGGAAGGGACCUGUGUUGCAGGGAGCAGUGGAAUAUUAAUCGGCCAUAAAGGAGAACAAAAUUACAUCACUUGCAGCUCAGUAAAUGGAACUAGAAAUCAUCGUGUUAGGUGAUGUAAGCCAGACUCCAAACAAGUGGUCUUGCACAUUUUCCUACCUAUAUGAAAUCUUGGAAACACCUGAAACAAAGCUGAUAUGAAAGCAGAAGCGAGACUGUGAGGGAAGUGGGAACAAAUGGAAGCAAAAAGGGGAAGAGCGAGAGAGUGAGGAUGCCCAAGUCCUUUUCUGUGAGUGUAGGAAAGUGUCAUACCCAAUUCCAUCCAUUUGUGCAAUUAAUAUGCAUAAAAAUAAAAUGAGGAAAGGAGGCGUGAUCCCAGAGAAGGGAAGAGUUGCCAUUAAAAUGUCAAAGCAUCAAGUUCCAGCUUUAAUGGCAAGGCAUAUGCUAUCCUGCUCCCAUAUGCUUCUUUCCAGUGCUCGCCAUUUUUGUCCGCAGCCACCAAGGCAUGGAUUUGCUCAGGGCUGGGCCUCUGCUUUCUCCUGGUACUGGGACACCUGUGCAGUAUCAAGCAUGUAGGUGUUGCUUCCUGAGAUCCACUUCCAGGGAGAAUCCAGUGCUAUGGGCUUCAGUGCCCGUGGACAGAGCUGUGGAGAGGAGGUCCCUGAUGUGAUUCUGCUUUCAGAGCGUUGGUCUUUUGUGACUCAGAAGCUUGUUCUGGGCAUACUUUUUGUGUCUCUGGGAAUAAAGGUCGCAACUUUUCUAGAAGACCACAGUGUCUACUUGAAGCCUGUCCCACUCUGGAGUAUUAGGGGUGAACACAGAACCAUCGCACCUGGGUUUCCACCAUGGGCAAUGGCACAGGACUUGUAUUAGUGACCAUUCCAAGUCACUUUCUGAGAGCAUGGUACCAAAUUCCUGGCUUGCCCAGGAAGAUACUAAGUGACUGCUUUCCUCAGAAAGAAAUGGAUGAAAGACCCAGCCAUCCCCAAACUGCACAUCUGAAGCUGGGAAACUGAUGUUCUGACCACCUCACUAUGUAUGAGCAAUGGUGGUACAUGGCUGUAAUCCCAGCAAUCUGGAAGCUGAGGCAGGAGAGCUUCCACACAUUCUGAAGUCAAGGCUGGCCUGAAGUAUACACUAUGUGACUCUGCCUCAAAAAAAAAAAAAAACAAAACAAAACAAACAAAAAAAAAAAACAACACAACUAAACAAACCAAAACCAAAGCCAACCCUCCCUUCAAAAAAUUCCCUCAGAGGAAAUCACAAAGGAAAUGAGAAAAAAGCGUCUCAAACCUGGUCCCACAGAAAUAUGUCAUCCACCUGUACCAGUCAAAUUGGUAGUGGUAAAUUCUCUGACAGUUCCAUCAUGCCAAAUUACAACCAGAUGAAAUUAAUUCUACUAAUAUAUGUAGCCGAGCAAUAUGUCAAGAAUGCCACCAUUUCACCUUGCAGUAAAUGCAAAAAUGAUUAAUGAAUAUUUUGCAUCCUUUUUCUCAUAGUGAAUCUAUUAUUGUAGCUAGAAGAAGGCAGGGGUCACAACCAGCUGCAGAAUAUAUUUUGUUCCUGGAUGUGGUUUUUAAAAUUAUAACUACUUCCCAAGAAAUGCAAAUCAUCAAUAAAAGUAGGUUAUAAAUUUAAAAUAUUUGUGUCUGCAAGAUAAAAGGAGACUAUGAUGCUUUUGAUGUAAUGCUUCCCAUGUUUCUGUAUUUUGUUCUGAGUUAUUUUCCAUUAUGGUAACAUUACACUCAGUUUUGCUUUGCUCCUUAUCUAAUGUCAUGGUAAAGGACACCAUGGACUGGGAUCUCUAGAGGAACAUGCUCUUCAGUCCAAGAAGCUGGAAGCUUCAGAACAGGUGACAAGACUAUUGGAUGGUGCCAGCCAAUUAGGACAGGUAUUUCCCCUCACCUAUAUGCCAGUCACUCCUGCAGACACACUCAGAAGAAGUGGGAUUCAAGCAAAGCUGACUCAUAGCCUUGGCAAAGCAGGUGAUAAGCUUUUUUUUUUUUUUUUUUGAGACAAAUUUCCUUAUGCAAUUCAGAUUGGCUUUGAACUCACUUUGUAGUCCAGGUUGGUCUCAAAUUUGCAGUGAUCCUCUUGCCUCAGCCUCCUGGGCACUGGGAUUAAAAGCAUGUGCCACCACAUGCUUUUAGGAGAUAAAUCCUUGUCAUACCACUGAAGCUCCAGAGGACGAGUCCCCAUGGAACUGUGCUGUAGCCCCUUGUUCUCCUCUGCACUCCUGGCACUAUUUCCUUCCUCUUUCUGGCCCUCCAUGUGUACCUUCAUGCUCAUGUCAGGUGCUUGAUGGGCAAGAUGAUCUCUCCAAAGGUGUGUGUUCUGGCUCAAAGCAAGAAGGAGGGAGGAAGAGAGGAAAGAAGGAAGGAGAGAAGGAAGAAGUCAGCUUUUGCUUCUUAGCCAUCCACAAGGGUAGAUCAUCUUUGACCUUUGAUAGCUUCAUUAUAUUGAAUGAACCAUUCACUAUGCCCCUUUGCAAAGGAUGCUGACUUUGGAAUUGGUGGUCUUCCUGUUUCAAGGCCAGCCAGGCUGCAGACCUUCAGCUCGAGUGUGAGACUUCUACCUUUGACAGUGCCCAUAAUUCUCUGGGAAACUGGUAAGUAGUCACUUUCCAAGAUGGUGCCAGGCACUUUCUCCCUUCUGAGCCUUCAUCCUUGUGCAGUCUCCUCCUACUCUGGUGAAGCUGACCAGUGGAAUAUUCUGGACCACUCUGGAAGGGUGGGUGUGCUUUCAGAGGACAGACGGUAAAACACAUCACCACUUUCUUCUUGCUUGCUGUCUCUUAGGCUUCUUGCUCUUGGGAAAGCCAGGUGUCAUAGUGUGAGAACAGUUGAGGAGUCCCAUGGAGAGGUCCUUGUGUUGAAGCAAUAUACACAAAUGAUGUUAGAAAUUGGUGUUCCCACAGCCUGGCCAAGCAUCAGACCAUGCCUGAUGGUGACAGAACUGUAAUUUUAAUGGGAUGAAAAUGAAAUACAGGGUUGUUUAAUACUCCCAUAGCCCACUUGGUUUCUACCUUGGACAACUGCUACAGGGUGUCUUUUUAUCCUGGGUAACUGAUUCUGUCUCAGUUCUUACAGAUUAGGAUGUGAGUGUAUAUCAGGUACAAAGUACUUGCUUAGCAUACCUGAAGCCCUGGGCUCCAACCCAGCACCCAGAAACCAAAACUGUGUAUGGUUCUGGGGAAAGAACUUGGUGGGUGGUUGAUGCAAGCCUGCCUUGGAGAUUUUCAUAUAUAUAUAUAUACCUGUUUCUCUAGGAAACCCUGACCCUUACACUGGCUCUCCUGUGGAGGCAGAGUUGGUUGAUGAUGGCCAAAGGGAGACUUCAGAAGCCCUUGCUGGGAGGUGUUACAACCCUUUGCCAGGCACUUACACAGUCAGGUCUCUGACAGCUUCAAGCUGCUGAAAAUAGAGGUAUGUACACAUUAUGAACAGAAAAGCCAGAAAAAGAAAGGACCAAAGUGGUUUGUUGAUAAUGGUUUUGUUCUCACCAGGGCUAUGAAAUCCUUUCAUGAAUCAGUUUCCUUGCUGCUCUGUAGAGACCACAGCCUCUUUAAUCCUUGAUCACCAGAGAAAGAAACAGCUUCCCACUGUCACCCCACCUAAGAACCUGCGCAAAUGUGCACUUGUGUAACUGCACAUCAGGGUUCCAACACACCUGGGCACCUGGACUCCUGAGUACUUGGGCACCUGGGAGGGGCCUGGUCCAAGAUAUAGACAGCAACCAGGUGAUGGAAAGGAGGGGUCUUUGUCCUGCCUGCCUCCUAGGUCUCCUGCCUGAGUUCAGGGAGAGCAGAGUUGAUCAUCUUCACCAAGGUAUAAGCCCUAGCAUGCACAAGCUUUACAAGAAUGUGUGUAUUCGCUUCUGAUCCUGUGUAAGUGCAAGCAUGGGGGAAGUGCAGUGGCCAGUGCUUUCCUGUGACUUGGUCUCCAUGAUGGAAAUUUUCUUGUGCGUAACAGGAGGUGGAGGUGGCCAGGGCAGGAGACCACCAGUCCCUUAUCUCUGUGAUAGGAGAAUGCAGCAGAGGCCACUUGGGACACAAACCUGCCCCAUCCAGUGCUUUGAGAAGAAAGAGUCCUGUUCAACAUAUUGCAGGAGGUUAACAGAGGCCACAGAACACUGGAGACCGAAGUUCAAAGUCAAAGGAUGCAUGUAUAAGCUCUUGUCCUUACAUUGAGCAUUGCUUCCUGGAUCCGGAGAGGAAGAUAUGUGCCACUUGGUCUUCAGGAUGAACUCAUCAUCAUGCUGGCUUCCUGGCAUGUACUUGACUGUGCUUAUGGUUGGAGGAGCUUGGGCCUCUGUCUCGAUGAGGAUGGCUGUGGUGCUUUGUGGCCUUUGUUGUGAAUGUGACUUUUGGCUCCAGCGUAGAACCCUCAACCUUCACCCUCAUGGCAUGGACUUUCUGACUUCCACUGCUGACUUUGGGUCUGCCCAGGACAGAUUCAUAAAAGAGACUUGCUUGAGUCCUUCUCAUGGGCUCUAGACCUCCAGUUAAACUUGUGGGAGACAUUGUCAUGAGCUCUGGGUCUUCAUCUGCCUAUCAUGCAGAACAUUACUGUGGUAUUUUGGCACUUGGGUGAAUAUUCUCUGUCUUCAGUGUUGUGGAUAGAUUUCCUGUACCUUCUUGUGUUAACUCUGGGUGACCAUUGUAAAAUAAUAUUAUAAACUCCAUGUCCUGAUUUUAAUUGUUCUCCUCACAACCCCUGACUAUAACAUCAUUAAAAAAAGAUGAAAGGUAUUGACACUUUAUUAAUUGCAGUAUUGAUCUCUGAAAUUAUGUUAAGUACAGAUAAGAAUACUUUAGUUGGGCUGGGGAUUUAGCUCAGUGACACACACACUUGCCUGACAAGUAUGAGGUUGGUACCAAAACCAAAAUGAGUAAAUGAAUAAUAAAGUUAAGUUUAGGCGUUAAAAUCUGGGUCUCAAAAAUGGAAAAAUGGAAGAGAAAAGGAUAGAGUAUUCAGGGAGAAGGGAACUAUAGAUUGGAAAAUAUAGGCUAGCAUAUCUAUAUUCAGGGGUUGUGUAGUAGACAGAGUUAUGGCAUUGUAUCUCAGGGUAGGGAAGGUGCUGGAAAGAUGGGCAAAUGGGAUGGUGUCUUAGUUACUUUUUACUCGUUGCUGAGACAACACACCUGAUGCCCAAAGUUGGGAAAGGAAAGGUUUAUGUCUUACAGUUUUUGGAGGUUUGAGUCCAUAUUCAGUUGGCUCCAAGGAAGGCGGGCAUGGCUGGGUCACAGUUCAUGGUGGCUGUAAGCAGCACAGAGGAAACCAGCAAAAGAGCAAGACACACCUUUUUCCUGCCAUCACAUUACAUCUUGGCUAGACCCCUAGGCCAGUGUAGUACUCACACCCCCAAUCCAAGUGUCAGACACUGAACCAAUCACAGAUGUGUAAUACAAAUGCAGGAGGCCUGGGGGCCUCCAAAAUGAGCCAUGACAGAUGGGAUGAUUUUUGGGCUAUAUUCUGACUUUUUUGAGUACAUUUUGGCUUUGAAUUGUGGUGGAGGUCCCAGCAGAUGGGAAGAUGUAGGCAUAAAUUAGUGAAAUGAACUCACCAGCAAAGCAAAUAGUCCUGAAUGCUAACUGCUAGAGACAGGGCUAGUGAUAUUUAUGAAUAAGAUGGUAGAAACAGAAACAGGAAGGAAAGCCACCUAAAGAGAUGGUGGGAAAACUUUCAAGUCUCAUGAACACCUGAAAAUUUUCUUUUUUGCUUAUAAUUCUGAGGUUUAGCAGCAUCUUCCCCUUUCAGCUGUUGGACUCUGUUUAGUGCUUUCAAGAAGGUUGUUAAAAAACAGUAAACUUGACCUCUCCCUGGUCCUUGGCUUCUGGUCUCACCACAUGAUCCCCAUCCUAUAUAUUCCUGCUGUUAUGAUGCUAACCACCACUAUAAGGUUCACACCAGAGCCAAGUCUAACCUGGUGCCCUACCCUUGAACUUCCAGAAUUGUGAGCUCCAUAAAUUUUUUUCUUUAUAAGUCACCCAGUCUCAGGUAAUUUGUGAUAGCAACAGAAAACAGACUGAUACAUUCUCAUAUCUUUCUUAUCAGUGGGGAGGGGGUUAGAAAAAUAAAAUAAAAUAAAUUAUUGCUAUAAAAUAAAUUUUAAUUAACCUUGUCUUAAUUACUUUGUUGUUGCUUAUACACAUUACCCAACACCCAGAACUCUAAAAGAGGAAAGGCUUGUUUUGGCUCACAGUUUGUAGAAGUUUCAGUCCAUAGUCUCAGUUUCAAGGUAGGGAGGUAUGGCAGAAGAGCAUGGCAGUAGAGAAACAGCACAUGGAAUGGCAGACAGGAAGCAGAGAUCAAGGGAGGAAUAGGGAGCUAGGACCUUCCAAGCCAUGCUCCCAGUGACCCAUUUCCUCCCACCAGGCUUCACCUCCUAACAUCACAUUUAGGUAUGAACUUAUCAGUGGACUAAUUCCUUGAUGAGUGUGAUGCCCUCAUGAUCCAGUGACCUCCCAGGAGCCCCACCUGUAAGUGAAUGAGGCUUUGGGGGUACAUCUAGAUAAAAACCAUAACCUCAUGUAUCUUUUACUGUUUAGCUUUUAGUUUACCAUAUAAUCUUGCCAUUAUUAUUGUGUUGUUAUUAUUUGCAGCUUCAGCCCAGAGCUCAGACCAUGGUGGUAGCUCUAAAGAUGUUCCCUGAAUUGGAUGUAAUCCUUUUCAGAAAGUUCCCCUAUGACUAUUUUUGGCCCAAUUUAAUUCCCUAUCUUCAUAGCACUUGACAGAUGCCCUGUGCCUUGGUCACUCCCCACACUUGUUGCAUUUCCCCCUUGACCACAUAGCUGGACCAGCUUUCCUAGUAUCCCUGGUGCUUCUGUGCAGCCAUAUGCCAGACUUCUGUCCAGUGCAGUGUGGCUGAGAUGACAUGUAGCAUGUCCAGGGUGAGUCCCACACAGCUCGCUGGGCCAUGCCUGUGAUCCUUGGCUUUCUCUCUCCACUACAUACCUGGAAAGGUGAGUCUUUUGUAGCCCUGAGACAUGACAGGUGGAUAAAUUGGAGGGUGAAGAGGUGUCUGAGAGCCCUGUCUGGGAAGUCACCUGCCCAUCAACAUGUUGCCUGACCAAUACAUAAGUGUGUAUUGUGUUCAACUCUGGAGGCUGUUGAUUACAGUGUCUGUCCUACCCUGACUGUCUUGUGGAGAAAGGGUACACCUCAGAAAAUGGAGAGCAGGGAUGCAUAUUCAUAUGCAUUAUAAAUAUUAGGGACACACAUUAUGAAUAAAGAAUUUGUAUUAUGAAUGCAACUGUAUAUUAUAUACUUUAAUUAGACAACAUCUAUUACUGUAUAAAUACGCAAAUACAUUAUGUAACCUCAGAAGUUGUAAAGACAAGAGAUUCAUGAAUGUGGUGAUUCAGUGAGAUUAAGGUUAUCAUUUUCCCUGCCUGUUUUUCUGAAUGCCAGUGGAUUUCCUUCUUGAAACAAGGACAAGAUUAUGGAGAACCUUCCCAAGGGUCAUAAGUGGGUGAUGGAUGUUAUACUAAGGCCCCCUAACUAUCAUGCCAAAGUCUGUUCUGUAUAAGCCUGCCUGCUGCUUUCCCUCCCCUUCCCCCUUCCCAUCUAACUAGGUUAAAUUUUAACUUCCCGAAAGGCCAUAAAACAAAGGCCUGAGGUAAUAGCUCCUGACAACCCCCUUCCCUACCCAGUGGCCCCAUCACGAAUUGUGUAUUCUUCACAAAAAUAGCUUCGUUUGUAUCAUAGCAGUACCUGUGUGUUCCUUUUCCCUCAGGGUAAAGGAUUGAUAUGUUAAUCAAUGCUCUCCUCUGUAAAGAAUUGUAAAAAUCUUACCUAAUUAAUAUGUUAACCAUUGUUGCCCUCUACAAAUGGCAGUUGUGGUGCUAAAGUAAGGUAACUAAAGUUGUUAAUUGCUGUUAGACUUCUCUAUUCUUUGCUAAGAAAAACAAGAUUUCUUCUUAUCUAAACUUGCUUGUAUGCAGGGAGACUUGCUUACCCUUACCUGAUCUUGCUCUUCCCAAGAGUUGUAAUCACCGUUUCACCCCUAUCCCCUUCCUUACAUUGUGUUACCAGCAGCAGUUUGUGGAUUUACAAGAUAAAAGCCCUGACUUUUAGCUGUGAGGUGCAUAGUCUCCAAAUUGGCUCCUGGAGGCUGUGUCACCAGGCCUGGAAAUAAAGCCUUUGCUUCCCAAAUUUUAA
Cavia porcellus (domestic guinea pig) is the source of this 24383-nucleotide long non-coding RNA. RefSeq lists it as uncharacterized. The transcript is spliced from 4 exons. The record is from RefSeq and is a predicted model, not a curated record. NCBI's taxonomy places the organism in Eukaryota, Metazoa, Chordata, Mammalia, Rodentia, Caviidae.